This is an RNA transcript of Fragaria vesca subsp. vesca, 1978 nucleotides long. RefSeq lists it as uncharacterized. Lineage: Eukaryota; Viridiplantae; Streptophyta; Magnoliopsida; Rosales; Rosaceae. The transcript has 18 exons. The record is from RefSeq and is a predicted model, not a curated record.
AUGGAGAAACACAAAUCCAGCAAGCGCUCCCGAGACGAACGCGAGCGCCGUGACCGGGACAAGCAUCGCAGCAGCCGCGACGCUUCUGAUGACUAUCACCGCCACCACCGCUCUCGAUCCGACCGCGAUUCUAAGCCCCACGACCACAGAUCUCGCCGCGACAGGUCGUCGGAGCCGCGCGACCACUUUGAGAGGGAGAGGAGUGAGGGUGUGGAUGAUUUCAACGAUAUCCACUUUGAAGGGUUUGUGUGGCGAGUCUUUGUCUCUGUAGUUCUUGACUUAGAUGAGACGCUAAUAUGUGCAUACGAAACAUCUAGUGUGCCUGCCAUUGUUUGGACUCAAGCAACGGAUGCUGGGAUGAAGUGGUUGAAGCAACGGAUGUGUAUCUUCGUACUAGGUAGGCAGGCUGGAGGCAAUCUCAAGCGGUUCAGUAGGUUGGAAGCUUUGGGUGAACUCAAGAUAGCAGAUUUGGGGUGGUCAGUGCAUACAUUCAAUCGCAGGCGGACCAUGUGUGGCACUCUUGAUUACCUCCCUCCUGAGAUGGAAUACAAAAUUGCAGUGAUAACUGGACAUGGGUGGAAACUAAAGAUGGUGAAUAAAAACUCAACGCCUUCAAAGAGCUUGCUGGCCAUUGCAGUUGGAAUAAAACAGAAAGGAAUAGUGGACAAAAUUGUUCGGAAGUUUUUAUCAAGUGACUUUGUGGUAAUGCUUUUCCAUUAUGAUGGUGCUGUGGAUAGGUGGAGGGAUUUACAUUGGAGUGAUCCUGCCAUUCAUGUGUGGUUCGCAAAACGUUUCAUGCAUCCAUAUAUAGUGACUGAAUAUAAACAUAUUUUUCUCUGGGAUGAGGAACUUGGAGUUGAGAAUUUUGAUCCUGAACGAUAUCUAUCAAUUAUUCAGGAUGAGGGACUUGAAAUGUCACAGCCAGCACUUGAUCCUGUCAAAUCGGAGAUGUAUCAUCCAAUCACUGCACGUGUAAAGAAAUCUAAGAGCAAUCACAUAGUGGCACUCAAUGUCCUCUUCAAGAGCCAGUUGCAACAAUCUCAGGUUGAGCAUCAGCUUCGCCCGGAAGUUGAAAUACAAAGUCAUCUUUGCCAUCCCAAUGUUCUACGUCUUUAUGGCUACUUUUAUGAUCAGUAUGUUGCAUCAUUGGCCCGAGCCCUUAUAUACUGUCAUGGAAAGCACUUAAUUCAUCUAGAUAUCAAACGAGAAAACCUUCUCAUUGGUCAACAGGGUGAACUCAAGAUAGCAGAUUUGGGGUGGUCAGUGCAUACAUUCAAUCGCAGUCGGACCAUGUGUGGCACUCUUGAUUAUGGGGCAAAUUGUGAGGACAAAAUGGACCACUUUUUGAAAAGAUGCUUCCACCAUUCUGGUCUGUAUAAUUAUGAGGAUAAGUUUGCAGAAUUGGACAUCAAGCUGAAAGAGAAGGAGGCUGGCAAAAAGUCAAAUAGGCUGUUUUACUUAUCAAUGCCUCCAGAUAUAUUUGUGAAGGUGGUGAGAUGUGCUAUCCUAAGAGCUUCUUUUAAGAAUGGGUGGACUAGGGUCAUUGUUGAGAAGCCAUUUGGUCGUGACUGAAUCCUCUGCGGAGCUAACCACAUGUUUAAAGCAGUACCUUGCUGAAGACCAGAUAUUUAGGAUUGACCAUUACUGGGGAAAGGAGCUUGUUGAGAAUCUUUCAGUGCUUUGCUUCUCAAAUCUUGAUUUCGAGCCUGUCUGGUCACGUAGUUAAAUCUGCAAUGUGCAACUGAUCUUAUCUGAAGAUUUGCACAGUGGUUAGAGGAGGGUGAAUUUUGGUAAAUAUGCAAUCAUACGGGGCAUAAUGUAAAAUCAUCUUCUGCAAAUACUAGCACUGUUUGCAAUGGAAACACCGGUCAGCUUAGAUGCUGAGGACAUCAGGAACUAAAAGGUAAAGGUUCUAAGAUCAAUGAGGCCACUGCAGCUUGAAGAUGUAGUUGUCCCCCAAUGUAAGGGCCACAACUAG